This is a long non-coding RNA of Suricata suricatta (meerkat), 1018 nucleotides long. The record is from Ensembl. Lineage: Eukaryota; Metazoa; Chordata; Mammalia; Carnivora; Herpestidae.
GAACCCGGUCGCCAGGCACCCAUAUUCUGGACACAGCAGCCUCCUCGGCUCAUUUGUUCAGACACUGGCGUGUGAGCAACCUGUUCCGUUGUGUGACCAUAUCCCGCUGCUGCCGGCCCAGGAGGGCUGACGGCAACAAUGGUUCCCGACCCCGGAGAUGGUGGGGAGGGUGUUGGCAGGGAUGCCUCAGGUCACUGACUAGGAGGAACGCAAAGAGAUCUGACCCUAUAGGAAGCCGGCUGGCGGAAUGGGGAUUGAGCCCCCUUCCACAGAUUUGUGUGUGCCCUGUGGCCCAGGAGGACCGCCCUGGACUCGAGUCAGGUGCAGAAGGCAGUGUGGCUCCAGAGCCCACCCCAACCCCAGCAGGGGCAUCGGCAGCUCUGGAGGCAGGGGUGGUGUCAGGAGUGACUCCCGCAGCGACCCAGGAACCUGCAGGUGACCCAGCACCUGUGGAAGGACAGCCGGGUCCUGCCUCUGAUCCUGCUUCUGCCUCUGCCCCUCCUGUCCCUGCCUCUGUCACUGCUGCUCCUCCUGCCCCUGUAAGCCUGGCAGCCACCCUGGGGGAGCCUGGAGACCUGCCAGGGAAGAUCUCUGCUGUUCCAUCCCUCGCCCCUGACACCCCAGGGGAUCGUAUAUUGAUUUUCAUCAUUAUUUUUUUAAUAUUUUAUUUUAACACCUCUAGAAGAAUGAAUGUUAAAUAAAAAUUUUAUUUGCUUUUAAAAAAAAAAGGAUUAAACAAGGUAAAGCCAUACAGGCAAAUUAAAAUAUUAAGUUCCGUCACUUUGGGUAGUACUGUAUCAACUUGACUAAUGUCAGUUGAUUACUUCAUGCUAAGCAGAUUUGGAAACUGUAUAUACCCUUGAUAAAUUAACAACGAAUAUGAACAUGUUAACAAUGAACUAUGAACAUGGCAACAUAAUAACAUUACUAACAUAAUUUUUCAUAGAAAAAAUUUCUCAAUAUAUUAUGAAAAUGAGGGGGCGGGAUUAAUAAAAAGAAUCCCUAGGGAGUGAAAAGG